Molecule: small RNA, 45 nt
Filed under: Vibrio cholerae O1 biovar El Tor str. N16961
Lineage: Bacteria; Pseudomonadati; Pseudomonadota; Gammaproteobacteria; Vibrionales; Vibrionaceae
Source: RNAcentral
AGUUGAAACAACUGGGGACUCGUUCCCGUCUUACCUCUCUUUUUA